RNAcentral lists this ribosomal RNA (253 nucleotides) under uncultured bacterium. Its description in RNAcentral is "partial 16S ribosomal RNA". It matches the Rfam family "Bacterial small subunit ribosomal RNA", at positions 524 to 776 of the family's 1533-position model. The record is from RNAcentral.
UACGUAGGGUGCGAGCGUUGUCCGGAAUUACUGGGCGUAAAGAGCUCGUAGGUGGUUUGUCGCGUUGUUCGUGAAAACCGGGGGCUUAACCCUCGGCGUGCGGGCGAUACGGGCAGACUUGAGUACUGCAGGGGAGACUGGAAUUCCUGGUGUAGCGGUGAAAUGCGUAGAGAUCGGCAGGAACACCCAGGGGGAAACCAGCCGACUGGGCAUCUGCUGACGCUGAUGUGCGAGAGCGUGGGGAGCGAACCGG